This 81-nucleotide non-coding RNA is filed under the name Pseudomonadota bacterium. Its description in RNAcentral is "Proteobacteria bacterium ZTP sequence". It matches the Rfam family "ZMP/ZTP riboswitch aptamer (pfl RNA motif)". Rfam says of the family: Previously known as pfl RNA. Lineage: Bacteria; Pseudomonadati; Pseudomonadota. The record is from RNAcentral.
CUGCCAAUGCGUGACUGGCGAUUGGGUGGAGCACCACCGGGGAGCGCAUGGCAGCAGCGCCGCAUCGCCUGGGCAUCAACA